AUGUCUGAAAGCUACAACCGUACGGUUGAGAACUUCAACAAGACGAUCCAGGACCGUGUGAAUCAGAUGAAGUAAUGAUAUGAGCAUGAAAGUGGGAUUUUAAGACCACGAUAUGCGAAUAGAGAGAAGGAUUGUGAGAGUGCGAAGCAUGGAACAAUCUACAGAUAU
Molecule: small RNA, 168 nt
Filed under: Dorea sp. CAG:105
Lineage: Bacteria; Bacillati; Bacillota; Clostridia; Lachnospirales; Lachnospiraceae
Description: Clostridiales-1 RNA
Rfam family: Clostridiales-1 RNA
Source: Rfam by way of RNAcentral